GCUCUUUUCGCUAUUCGAUUUUCCUUCUUUUCGGAAAUUACGUAUGCAAAAAGCGAAGUAAAAAUAUUGUUUUUGCCUUAGCGAAGGGUUUAAAUUGGUUUAAAUAAUACUGAAAUCCAAAAUUAAAGUGUAUUUGGUUUCGUGAAAUUCAAUGUCGCGUGUGUUAUAAAUUUUACAAUGUCUGAUUUAUUCACAGUUUUAUUGUGUGCGACUAAAUGGAGCAUCAGUAGCAAUUUAUGACGCCCGCGCUCUUGCUUUUCCAAUACUCUUUGGUUAUCUGCGAGCAUAGAAGCUAUCCAGACGGAGCAGAAAGCACAAACGCAAAACAAUAAUUGUAAGAAAUCAAUUGAAAGCAGCAGGGUGAAUGCAAUCGUCAUUCUUUCGGUUUAAACGCUAUUAUAAUACAUACAAACAUACAGAAAGAUAUAUACACAGAAGUAAUAGGAGUAAAGCGUGUUAAACGAAUAAAAAAAGUUCAUAUUGCUAUAGCCGUCCCAACAUUUGAUAGUGUUAACUAAUUCAGUAUUAUUAUGCACUCGCUACGUUGAGCAUGUGUUUGUUUUGUAUUCGUUAUCAGGGUUAUCGUAUUUUUAGUUGUGAACGCUUCACGAUAAGACAUUUGGGCCCAUAACUACUCAAAAAAUACACCACGAUAUCCCGCUGCUCUAAAAGCAGUAUUGAAAAAACCAAAAUGGACGAAGUAUUUUCACUACAUUUAGCAAAACUGGAUAUUUUUGAUGUCUUCUUUCUGGCAGGCAUUCUUUCUUUAGUUAUACUAUUUUCAAUUUAAAAUGGAUGCAAUUAAAACCAGACACCGAAAGGACUUUAUUGGAUAAAAUUUGCCACAAAUUCGUCAUCAAUAGAAAAUACGCAGCAAAACAAAAUUAUUGUGAAAUCCAAAAUGCAAACGUCAAUAUGAGCAAGAAAAGCAAAAAGCUGGAAAAUGUCAGAAGUGCAAAAGCAAAAUAAAAUGUCAGAUGGAAAAAUACAGUAUUGCAUGCCUGUAGGAAAAAUUGUUUAUCAAUUGUCAAAGACUACAAAAUAGCGGAUUUUUUGUUUCAAUAUAAAAAUUAUUACAUUACGGUUAUUUACCUAUUUACGCCUUGUAUUUUAUAGAAAAAUAUCUGUUGUAAAUUAUAAUAUUAAUUUGGAAAAUUAUUAGUUUUUGUGAUAACUUGAAAUAUGCAUAACUUGAAUAUAAUUUACGGCAGCUUAAUUAAAAGUAUCGUUUUGUUUGUAAAAAGACUGAAUUGUAUUAGAAUCAAAACCUAAGAAUUGAGAGAUCUUAAUUUACCAUGCUUGAUAAAAAAAAAAGAUAGGGUUAAUAGAGAACGGCUGGAGUGGACCAAUAAAAUCCUUAUGGCACAGUAUGUGAAUUAA
Long non-coding RNA from Rhagoletis pomonella (apple maggot), 1380 nucleotides. RefSeq lists it as uncharacterized. The record is from RefSeq and is a predicted model, not a curated record. Lineage: Eukaryota; Metazoa; Arthropoda; Insecta; Diptera; Tephritidae. The transcript is spliced from 3 exons.